Nomascus leucogenys (northern white-cheeked gibbon) is the source of this 1320-nucleotide RNA transcript. RefSeq lists it as uncharacterized. The transcript is spliced from 3 exons. NCBI's taxonomy places the organism in Eukaryota, Metazoa, Chordata, Mammalia, Primates, Hylobatidae. The record is from RefSeq and is a predicted model, not a curated record.
CUCAAGUGAUCCUUUGGCCUCAGCCUCCCAAACAGAUAUUCUUCACAGAAAAAUCCAGCAAAGCCCACUCCUUCUGGAUGAAGUUCACAGCCACAUCUUCAAAGACCACCAAGCCAUGACAUAUCCCAGAUAUGUGUAGAGGAGAACAGGUGAAAGGCGGGCUUGGGAACCCCACAGACCACAGCUCCUCGCAGGAGAACCCCACACGAGUCUGGAUCCUCGCCAUGAUCCUCCCAUGGCCCCCACACAAUCUGGGGAGAUGCGGGGCCGCGGGCACUGCGGGCGCUGUGCUGCCGAGAGGGCUCCGGACCGGGGCUGCAGUUGCCACGCAGGGACGGGACACGAUGCCCGGGGUCCCGGCUGCCGGCCCAGCCCCACCCUGUGGCCGAGGGGACCUAGGGCCGAGCUGCGCCAGGGAGACUUGGGUCCGCAGACCCCGGAAUCGCUGCUGAGAGGCCCGGGUCCCACCACAGCAGGUCCCAACCAGCCCCUCCUCCCACCCCGCCUUGCACACUCACCAUUUCCCGGCUCCCAGGUGUCCCGGGUCCUCCCUUGGCUCCGGGGAUCAGUGCUAGUCACCACCGGACAGAAGCUGUGGUGGAGCCACCUUGCCCUCUGGAACGCUGAUUUCAGUGGGUUAGGGGAACAAGAGCCCCUUAGACUUGCGGAGCUUGACCCCACCCUCCUGGCGGAGCGCCUGAUUGGAUGAUUUACACGACCCCGCCCAGUACCCCUAGGAUAGGAAUCAAGCCCCACCCCUUAGGCCCGGGUUUCAGGAGAAGCCACGGAAAGCGUGGAAGUGUGGAGCAGGACUGACUGGUUCUAGCAACAGCCCUCCCACCCCGCCAGGCCAGGCUUCCUUCUGGAGCUUGGAUGUGACCCCACACUGGGGACAUUUGCAUUUAAGAAAAACUUGGCUCCGGAUUUUCCACAGUGGGCACUGGCAUCUUCCUAUACUCACUGGGCCCUUUCUGUUUCUUCCUCCUGGACAGGGGUUCACAAGUGUGAGCAGGCAGUUCCACACACCGUGUCCAAUUGAGCCAAUACCUUUGCUGGAAGCUACUGGGCUGGAACAGGAGGGAGGGCCCAGAUGUCUCCCAGGGAUCAGGAAUUUGGGAUAAGCGGCUGGUGGCAUGGCCAAGCCUUCCUCAUACCUUACCUCAGUCUACCCAUUUUCAGGGAAGAAAAUGAAAUAUGCCAACAAGGGAACAAAAAUUAAGUGCGUGGAAAAAAGAGUUAUACUACAGCAAUAUUCUGUAAAGAAAUCAAAAGGGGCCGGGCACGACGACUUACGCCUAUAAUCCCUGCACUUCGGGAGGC